GUGAGAGUGGAGGACAUCCCCGCACUCAAGGUGAGACUGGGAUAAACUGGGACAAACUGGGACAGACUGGGAUGGACUGGGAGGGACUGGGACGGACUGGGAUGGACUGGGAGUCACUGGGAAUCACUGGGAGUCACUGGGAUGGGACUAGGAGUCAUUGGGAGCACUGGGGAGAGGGCAUCUUCAGGGAGAGGGACGAGUUCGUGGUGAGGGUGGAGGAUAUCCCCGCACUCAAGGUGAGACUGGGAUAAACUGGGAGUCACUGGGAGGGACUGGGAGGGACUGGGAUGGACUGGGAGUGAGGACAUGGCACUGGGAGUCACUGGGACAAACUGGGAGUCACUGGGAGCACUGGGGACAGGGCAUCUUCAGGGAGAGGGACGAGUUCGUGGUCAGGGUGGAGGAUAUCCCCGCACUCAAGGUGAGACUGUGACGGGGCCGGGAGCCGCCGCCCAUCUGGCGGGUGCAGAAGGCGCUGCUGCAGAAAUUCACCCCCGAGAUCAAAGACGGGCAGCGGCAGUUCUGCGCCACCAGCAACGUGAGCGGCACCCCAAAAAAUACCUGGGGGACCCCAAAAACUCCGGGGGAACACCAAAAAAUACCAGGGGAACCCAAAAAAUACCGGGGGAACCCAAAAACCCACGGGGCACCCCCAAAACCAGCCUGGGAAACCCAAAAAA
RNAcentral lists this long non-coding RNA (680 nucleotides) under Taeniopygia guttata (zebra finch). RNAcentral's name for it is "lncRNA (ENSTGUG00000026093.1)". Lineage: Eukaryota; Metazoa; Chordata; Aves; Passeriformes; Estrildidae. The record is from RNAcentral.